AGUGAACGCUGGCGGUAGGCCUAACACAUGCAAGUCGAACGGCAGCACAGUAAGAGCUUGCUCUUACGGGUGGCGAGUGGCGGACGGGUGAGGAAUACAUCGGAAUCUACUUUUUCGGGGGGGAUAACGUAGGGAAACUUACGCUAAUACCGCAUACGACCUACGGGUGAAAGCAGGGGAUCUUCGGACCUUGCGCGAUUGAAUGAGCCGAUGUCGGAUUAGCUAGUGGGCGGGGUAAAGGCCCACCAAGGCGACGAUCCGUAGCUGGUCUGGGAGGCUGAUCACCCACCCUGGAACUUAGCCACGGUCCAGGCUCCUACGGGAGGCCGCAGUGUGCUAUAUUGGACAGUGGGCGCAAGCCUUAUCCAGUCAUACCGCGUGUGUGAAGACGGCCUUCGGGUUGUAAAGCCCUUUUGUUGGGAGAGAAAAGCAGCAGGUUAAUACCCCGCUGUUCUGACGGUACCCAAAGAAUAAGCACCGGCUAACUUCGUG
Molecule: ribosomal RNA, 492 nt
Filed under: uncultured bacterium
Lineage: Bacteria
Description: partial 16S ribosomal RNA
Rfam family: Bacterial small subunit ribosomal RNA
Source: RNAcentral